This 377-nucleotide ribosomal RNA is filed under the name uncultured bacterium. RNAcentral's name for it is "bacterial SSU rRNA". It matches the Rfam family "Bacterial small subunit ribosomal RNA", at positions 523 to 898 of the family's 1533-position model. The record is from RNAcentral.
AUACGUAGGGAGCAAGCGUUGUCCGGAAUUACUGGGCGUAAAGGGCGCGUAGGCGGGAUAUUAAGUUAGGUGUGAAAACUCCGGGCUCAACUUGGAGACUGCACCUAAAACUGGUAUUCUUGAGGACAGGAGAGGAAAGUGGAAUUCCUAGUGUAGCGGUGAAAUGCGUAGAUAUUAGGAGGAACACCAGUGGCGAAGGCGACUUUCUGGACUGUAACUGACGCUGAGGCGCGAAAGCGUGGGGAGUGAACGGGAUUAGAUACCCCGGUAAUCCACGCCGUAAACGAUGGGUACUAGGUGUAGGAGGUAUCGACCCCUUCUGUGCCGGAGUUAACGCAAUAAGUACCCCGCCUGGGGAGUACGGCCGCAAGGUUGAA